UACGUAGGGUGCAAGCGUUGUCCGGAAUUAUUGGGCGUAAAGAGCUCGUAGGCGGUUCGUCGCGUCGGCUGUGAAAACCCGGAGCUCAACUCCGGGCCUGCAGUCGAUACGGGCGGACUUGAGUGUUGCAGGGGAGACUGGAAUUCCUGGUGUAGCGGUGAAAUGCGCAGAUAUCAGGAGGAACACCGGUGGCGAAGGCGGAUCUCUGGGCCGAUACUGACGCGGAGGAGCGAAAGCGUGGGGAGCGAACAGG
RNAcentral lists this ribosomal RNA (253 nucleotides) under uncultured bacterium. RNAcentral describes it as "partial 16S ribosomal RNA". It matches the Rfam family "Bacterial small subunit ribosomal RNA", at positions 524 to 776 of the family's 1533-position model. The record is from RNAcentral.